GCAAACAAAUAAUAUUGGCUCACAAAAAUAAUCUUCAAAAUAAGAAGACAAGCAAUUUAAUAUAUCAAAACUAAAGAGUUAUGUAGACAUAAGUAAAGGUUAGUCGACAUAUCAAAAUAAUAUCAUCAAAAUCAUAGAAGGGAAGACUAAAGAACGUUAGGCUCCUAUUUAUAAGAAUCCGAGUAUCGCGAUGAUCCUAAUUGUUGUUGGCCUAAUAUUUUAGGCCAAUAAUAAGUUCCAAAAUAGAAACUCCAACUCUCCAAUUGUACAUGAAAUAUAAGAAAACGAAAAGAAUUAGCAAGUGGACUCUAUAUUUAUCACAAUACAUAAUAUUAUGUAGUCACGUGCAUAUGAAUAUGUUUUUAUAAUAUAAUGGAAGGUUUAAUGUAUCUGCAACCAUUUCUGAAGCAUAGGAGCAUAUGUUUAUUCUUUUAAGUCUAAUAAAACAAGCAAACAGUACUAUAUCUGGUUCCUAAAGAAAGAAUACAUGUUUAAUCCUAUGCCCCACAAGAUAUGCAAAGAUAACCAACAAAUAACAAGAUAAAAUACGAAGUGGGGGUCCAAUACUUAGAGUGGAAUCAAGAUGAAAUAAAUACAUGGGACAAGGGCUAAGUUCACAGAAUCAUGUAUGACGCCAAAACGACAAAUAUCUUAGACUAUUGACAGAUGGAUUAAUGAGACUAUCAAUUGAUAGACUAAGUUCGGCUACAUCAGAUGCAAAGCAUUAUGCUUUAACAGAGGAUUCUUCUAGUCACAACAGAGAGAGGAAAAAGAUUUAAAAGUUUCUAAAGUUAACCAUAUAGACAAAUUUCAAGAUAGGUUAGGAUUUCAAAAGCAACAAAUAUCAAAAGAAAGUAUGUAUGCUAGUACGUAGACCAUGGUUUGUCAACAUAGUGAAUAAAUCUUGCUUGACACAAACUAUGAAAUCUUAACAAAACAAGUUCGAAGCCAAACAUACUCUUACUCUUAGAUUAAUUUAGAUAAGGUUGAUAAGGAAACUUUAAGACAUAAUUUGUACAACAAGUAUUAAGGGGAUGCAUGAUUAAGUCGUUGGGGGUAUUUUGAGCAUACUUUUGAAAGAAAAUAGAGAUUAAAAAUAUAAUUGAUUAUAUCUUGAUGCUAAAAAUAGAUGUUAACUCUUAUUACAAAAACCAAUUUUUGAUUACACAAGAUCAUAACAUAGCGAAUUUUGCACACUAUAACGAAAUUCGAACUUAUUAGUCUAACAGGAGUAAUACUAACUAAAGGGUAGAACACAUUGUUCGUAACAACUCAUUCAUUGAAGCAUGUUGGUAAAACAGGAAAUAAUGUUUAAAGGAUAGCCACUGGGACAUUAAGACCACAUACGAAUUAAUGCAUGCAGGUGGUAGUUUCAUGGAAGAAAUUACAAAGUAAAGAAGAAACUCACAUAAACUGCCAAACUAGAGAAAUAAAAAAAAAGGAAAUAUCUAGUCAAAUGUCCAUUAAUAACCAUGAGGUCCUCCUACAUGCAUAUGUCUUUAAAACAUACACACACACAAAAUCUGCUCAUCAUGAGUAUAUAUUCUAGCUCAUAUCGAUCAUUCUACGUACUAAAAUUCGAUAAUCACACGUAGAGCGAGGUAUAAUUUCAGCCGAGUUAUAAUCCCAAAAGAACAGACACAAAAUAAAACUUGAGAGGGAAUUACAGACGUUCAAACAUUCUUAUGUUCGUUUUUAUGAAUCGUAACUAAAUAAAGAAUGCGAGCAAUGGCCUUAUUAACAAGGUUAUAAAGCAAAAGUAAAAGAAAAUGUUACCGGAGAAGAUGAAAUACGAGAGAGGGAAUAGACCAAGAUUGAUUAUAUUCUAGUUAGUUCGAUCUGCCUCAAGUUAAUAGGUAAAUGCCUAUUUAGCUUCCUUGAUUUUACGUGAACAUAGGCAAAUUUAUUAUGAGUCAACACUUUUGAAAGGAGAAGAAAAAGAUGCAGUUGUCCAAUUCUUCAUAUUAAAAAGCUAUCCUAAUUGAAUACUUCCACACUACCAUCCAUCAAAGAAACAACAUAAGAUAGGAAAUUAAUUCCAUAUUGGAAAAUUGAGCCAGUAGAUCUUAAGAGUUAAAAAAAUGGCUCACUCGUACUUAGAAAAUGAUUAUUUAGACAAAGCUUGGUUAUACUUGAAUAAACAAAAUUUAGAAUCGAGUCUCCUCGAACAUUAAAUGAAAUCUGACUUGCGAAACAACAAGAUGACUUAUAAAAAAUCUAAGGCGCAACACAUCUGUCCAAACACGGAUAUCACUUAGCAGCGGAGAGCAACAUAAAUCAAGCUAGCUAAACAUUUCACAAAAUUCAUAUAUAGAACUCAGAAUCAGUAACAUAGACAGGUGUUGUGUUUUCUAAGCCGAUUUCAAUUCGAAUUUACAUUGAUUUACAACACGAAAAAAUGUGGAUUUCUAUGGCUUAACAAGCAUCAAAGUUAUAGCUUCCUGGAGAUAAAAAUGACUCUAAAGAGGAACAAAACGAGCAGCCCUGAAUUGAUUAAAUCUUUCAGCACAUUCAACUAAAGUUUAUACCACAUUAGAUAGAUGCAAAAUAAGAAAGAUCCACUUUUAAGCUCAAAAAAAUCUUUAAAAAAAAACUUCAUCAGCUAUAAGUUCGAGAUGAUCGCAAGUCUUAAGUUUUGAAACUUAGGCUAACACAACAUAAGAUUUUAAACGAAGAAAAACAAGAUGAGAUCAAGACGUCAAGAGAUUAAA
RNAcentral lists this long non-coding RNA (2711 nucleotides) under Solanum tuberosum (potato). RNAcentral describes it as "long non-coding RNA (STUB_LNC005844)". The record is from RNAcentral. Lineage: Eukaryota; Viridiplantae; Streptophyta; Magnoliopsida; Solanales; Solanaceae.